This 301-nucleotide ribosomal RNA is filed under the name uncultured bacterium. Its description in RNAcentral is "partial 16S ribosomal RNA". It matches the Rfam family "Bacterial small subunit ribosomal RNA", at positions 509 to 807 of the family's 1533-position model. The record is from RNAcentral.
CAGCAGCCACGGGAAUACGUAGGUGGCAAGCGUUGUCCGGAAUUAUUGGGCGUAAAGGGCUCGCAGGCGGUUUCUUAAGUCUGAUGUGAAAGCCCCCGGCUCAACCGGGGAGGGUCAUUGGAAACUGGGAAACUUGAGUGCAGAAGAGGAGAGUGGAAUUCCACGUGUAGCGGUGAAAUGCGUAGAGAUGUGGAGGAACACCAGUGGCGAAAGCACUCUGCUGGGCCGACACUGACACUGGGAGACGAAAGCUAGGGGAGCAAAUGGGAUUAGAUACCCCGGUAGUCCCUGUCUCUUAUAC